GGAGAGGUGCCGGAGCGGCCGAACGGGCACGCUUGGAAAGCGUGUGACCCCGAAAGGGGUCCGGGGGUUCGAAUCCCUUCCUCUCCGCCA
Molecule: transfer RNA, 90 nt
Filed under: Planctomycetota bacterium
Lineage: Bacteria; Pseudomonadati; Planctomycetota
Description: Planctomycetes bacterium (groundwater metagenome) tRNA-Ser
Rfam family: tRNA
About the family: Transfer RNA (tRNA) molecules are approximately 80 nucleotides in length. Their secondary structure includes four short double-helical elements and three loops (D, anti-codon, and T loops). Further hydrogen bonds mediate the characteristic L-shaped molecular structure. tRNAs have two regions of fundamental functional importance: the anti-codon, which is responsible for specific mRNA codon recognition, and the 3' end, to which the tRNAs corresponding amino acid is attached (by aminoacyl-tRNA synthetases). tRNAs cope with the degeneracy of the genetic code in two manners: having more than one tRNA (with a specific anti-codon) for a particular amino acid; and 'wobble' base-pairing, i.e. permitting non-standard base-pairing at the 3rd anti-codon position.
Source: RNAcentral